AGGAAGUUUGAAAAAACGGCAACUGCCGCCCGCAAUGUCUCGGUCGUGGGUUCGUUAUCCAGUUGUGCGUCAUUCUAAGCCGUUCUCUACAUUUAUACUGGAUAUUAACUGGAGUCAUUUAGCUGUGCUGAUGCUGUUUGCCGGGUGUUUUGCAUCAGUGCUUCGUUACAUCGGCUGUAUUGCGUGUUUUCGCCGACGGCUUACUACCACAAUGGCGGGAUCUGCGUUCGCCGCCUUCGUGUCUCGGUGCGUCUUUGUACGUCGCACGUUCGGAUAACACUUUUUCCGACGGCUGGACAUCCUUCUUGUACCGUGGCGCUAGGUGGAUGACGGGACCUCAUCAUGAUCAGUGUAUUGCUUGCCUAUGUCUACAAGAACCGUCACGCGUGGCCUGUGACAGCAAGCUUUUGUGGGCAGCAAGUGCUCUCCUACGAAGGCUGGCCUACUCUGGCAGCGGCGGCAAUCAUCUUCAAGAUUUAUCCAUGAUCACCUUUGCUGCUAUUUGUCACUCUUGUUAAUUACACUUUCGGCAUCUUUUCUAAUUUAUUAGGUAAUAAAGUAUGAGUAUGU
This 570-nucleotide long non-coding RNA is filed under the name Dermacentor andersoni. RNAcentral describes it as "uncharacterized LOC126536734". The record is from RNAcentral. Lineage: Eukaryota; Metazoa; Arthropoda; Arachnida; Ixodida; Ixodidae.